ACCGGCUAACUACGUGCCAGCAGCCGCGGUAAUACGUAGGGUGCAAGCGUUAUCCGGAAUUAUUGGGCGUAAAGAGCUCGUAGGCGGUUUGUCGCGUCUGCUGUGAAAACUGGAGGCUCAACCUCCAGCCUGCAGUGGGUACGGGCAGACUAGAGUGCGGUAGGGGAGAUUGGAAUUCCUGGUGUAGCGGUGGAAUGCGCAGAUAUCAGGAGGAACACCGAUGGCGAAGGCAGAUCUCUGGGCCGUAACUGACGCUGAGGAGCGAAAGCAUGGGGAGCGAACAGGAUUAGAUACCCUGGUAGUCCAUGCCGUAAACGUUGGGAACUAGAUGUAGGGACCAUUCCACGGUUUCUGUGUCGCAGCUAACGCAUUAAGUUCCCCGCCUGGGGAGUACGGCCGCA
Molecule: ribosomal RNA, 401 nt
Filed under: actinobacterium i3(2010)
Lineage: Bacteria; Bacillati; Actinomycetota; Actinomycetes
Description: bacterial SSU rRNA
Rfam family: Bacterial small subunit ribosomal RNA
Source: RNAcentral